RNAcentral lists this long non-coding RNA (330 nucleotides) under Phoenix dactylifera (date palm). RNAcentral describes it as "long non-coding RNA (PDAC_LNC010630)". The record is from RNAcentral. Lineage: Eukaryota; Viridiplantae; Streptophyta; Magnoliopsida; Arecales; Arecaceae.
AUCUACCUCAUUGUCAUUGGCUAUGUAGCAGAUUUGAGCCGUCUCUUGUUGAUCUUCCUCUUCCGAACUUGACUCCUCACUUUCACUCUAUUCAGCCAUGAAGUUGCUCUUCUUAAGUUUUCUUGCCAUCCAUUUUAAUUCCGGACAAUCUAUCUUGAAAUGCCCGGGCUUGUUACACUUAUAGCAAAUUGGUGUUUUCCUUUCCUUUUCUUUAUCCUUACCCUUUUGCUUGCUUGAGCUACCUUUGAGGAAGGAUUUUCUUUUAUAAAAUUUCUUCUUUCCUUCAUAAAUUUUCUGAAUUUUCUUGCAAGCAUAGACAUUCCUUCUUCA